CAUAGGUUAAUGAGGCGAACCGGGGGAACUGAAACAUCUAAGUACCCCGAGGAAAAGAAAUCAACCGAGAUUCCCCCAGUAGCGGCGAGCGAACGGGGAGGAGCCCAGAGCCUGAAUCAGUGUGUGUGUUAGUGGAAGCGUCUGGAAAGGCGCGCGAUACAGGGUGACAGCCCCGUACACAAAAAUGCACAUACUGUGAGCUCGAUGAGUAGGGCGGGACACGUGGUAUCCUGUCUGAAUAUGGGGGGACCAUCCUCCAAGGCUAAAUACUCCUGACUGACCGAUAGUGAACCAGUACCGUGAGGGAAAGGCGAAAAGAACCCCGGCGAGGGGAGUGAAAAAGAACCUGAAACCGUGUACGUACAAGCAGUGGGAGCACGCUUCGGCGUGUGACUGCGUACCUUUUGUAUAAUGGGUCAGCGACUUAUAUUCUGUAGCAAGGUUAACCGAAUAGGGGAGCCGAAGGGAAACCGAGUCUUAACUGGGCGUUAAGUUGCAGGGUAUAGACCCGAAACCCGGUGAUCUAGCCAUGGGCAGGUUGAAGGUUGGGUAACACUAACUGGAGGACCGAACCGACUAAUGUUGAAAAAUUAGCGGAUGACUUGUGGCUGGGGGUGAAAGGCCAAUCAAACCGGGAGAUAGCUGGUUCUCCCCGAAAGCUAUUUAGGUAGCGCCUCGUGAAUUCAUCUCCGGGGGUAGAGCACUGUUUCGGCAAGGGGGUCAUCCCGACUUACCAACCCGAUGCAAACUGCGAAUACCGGAGAAUGUUAUCACGGGAGACACACGGCGGGUGCUAACGUCCGUCGUGAAGAGGGAAACAACCCAGACCGCCAGCUAAGGUCCCAAAGUCAUGGUUAAGUGGGAAACGAUGUGGGAAGGCCCAGACAGCCAGGAUGUUGGCUUAGAAGCAGCCAUCAUUUAAAGAAAGCGUAAUAGCUCACUGGUCGAGUCGGCCUGCGCGGAAGAUGUAACGGGGCUAAACCAUGCACCGAAGCUGCGGCAGCGACACUAUGUGUUGUUGGGUAGGGGAGCG
This 1033-nucleotide ribosomal RNA is filed under the name Escherichia coli. RNAcentral describes it as "partial 23S ribosomal RNA". It matches the Rfam family "Bacterial large subunit ribosomal RNA", at positions 165 to 1238 of the family's 2925-position model. Lineage: Bacteria; Pseudomonadati; Pseudomonadota; Gammaproteobacteria; Enterobacterales; Enterobacteriaceae. The record is from RNAcentral.